AUUCCAGCUCCAAUAGCGUAUAUUAAAGUUGUUGCAGUUAAAAAGCUCGUAGUUGGACUUGUGCGUGCCCCCGAUGUCCUUUUUGGUACGUUCGGGGGUGUGCAUCCUUGGGUGGAACCUGCGUGGCAUUAGGUUGUCGGGCAGGGGAUGCUCAUCGUUUACUGUGAAAAAAUUAGAGUGUUCAAAGCAGGCUUACGCCGUUGAAUAUAUUAGCAUGGAAUAAUAAGAUAGGACCUUGGUACUAUUUUGUUGGUUUGCGCACCGAGGUAAUGAUUAACAGGGACAGUUGGGGGUAUUCGUAUUCCAUUGUCAGAGGUGAAAUUCUUGGAUUUUUGGAAGACGAACUACUGCGAAAGCAUUUACCAAGGAUGUUUUCAUCG
This 380-nucleotide ribosomal RNA is filed under the name Entomoneis sp. Its description in RNAcentral is "partial small subunit ribosomal RNA". It matches the Rfam family "Eukaryotic small subunit ribosomal RNA", at positions 582 to 975 of the family's 1831-position model. Lineage: Eukaryota; Bacillariophyta; Bacillariophyceae; Surirellales; Surirellaceae. The record is from RNAcentral.